CGACUGGCAGAGAUGCCUUUCUUCCCUUCGGGGACCUACACACAGGUGCUGCAUGGCUGUCGUCAGCUCGUGUCGUGAGAUGUUGGGUUAAGUCCCGCAACGAGCGCAACCCUCGACUUUAGUUACCAUCAUUAAGUUGGGUACUUUAAAGUAACCGCCGGUGAUAAGCCGGAGGAAGGUGGGGAUGACGUCAAGUCCUCAUGGCCCUUACGCGCUGGGCUACACACGUGCUACAAUGGCAAGUACAGUGGGCAGCAAUCCCGCGAGGGUGAGCUAAUCUCCAAAACUUGUCUCAGUUCGGAUUGUUCUCUGCAACUCGAGAGCAUGAAGGCGGAAUCGCUAGUAAUCGCGGAUCAGCAUGCCGCGGUGAAUACGUUCCC
Molecule: ribosomal RNA, 380 nt
Filed under: Sphingomonas sp. SB42
Lineage: Bacteria; Pseudomonadati; Pseudomonadota; Alphaproteobacteria; Sphingomonadales; Sphingomonadaceae
Description: bacterial SSU rRNA
Rfam family: Bacterial small subunit ribosomal RNA
Source: RNAcentral